UCAUGGCUCAGAUUGAACGCUGGCGGCAGGCCUAACACAUGCAAGUCGAGCGGAUGACAGGAGCUUGCUCCUGAAUUCAGCGGCGGACGGGUGAGUAAUGCCUAGGAAUCUGCCUGGUAGUGGGGGACAACGUUUCGAAAGGAACGCUAAUACCGCAUACGUCCUACGGGAGAAAGCAGGGGACCUUCGGGCCUUGCGCUAUCAGAUGAGCCUAGGUCGGAUUAGCUAGUUGGUGAGGUAAUGGCUCACCAAGGCGACGAUCCGUAACUGGUCUGAGAGGAUGAUCAGUCACACUGGAACUGAGACACGGUCCAGACUCCUACGGGAGGCAGCAGUGGGGAAUAUUGGACAAUGGGCGAAAGCCUGAUCCAGCCAUGCCGCGUGUGUGAAGAAGGUCUUCGGAUUGUAAAGCACUUUAAGUUGGGAGGAAGGGCAUUAACCUAAUACGUUAGUGUUUUGACGUUACCGACAGAAUAAGCACCGGCUAACUCUGUGCCAGCAGCCGCGGUAAUACAGAGGGUGCAAGCGUUAAUCGGAAUUACUGGGCGUAAAGCGCGCGUAGGUGGUUUGUUAAGUUGGAUGUGAAAUCCCCGGGCUCAACCUGGGAACUGCAUUCAAAACUGACAAGCUAGAGUAUGGUAGAGGGUGGUGGAAUUUCCUGUGUAGCGGUGAAAUGCGUAGAUAUAGGAAGGAACACCAGUGGCGAAGGCGACCAC
This 716-nucleotide ribosomal RNA is filed under the name Pseudomonas synxantha. RNAcentral describes it as "bacterial SSU rRNA". It matches the Rfam family "Bacterial small subunit ribosomal RNA", at positions 17 to 728 of the family's 1533-position model. The record is from RNAcentral. Lineage: Bacteria; Pseudomonadati; Pseudomonadota; Gammaproteobacteria; Pseudomonadales; Pseudomonadaceae.